GGCUUCGGGUGGUGUCGUCAGCUCCGGGUCGGGUCGUUUGGUUGGUUCUGGCUGGCUAAAAGGGGAAGGGACGAGGAGGUAAGGAAAGGAAGAGGAGGACGGGACGGGACGGCGGCAGCGGCAGCGGCAGUCGGCAGCGGGGGGCGGCGGCGGAAGUGCGAGGCUAAGCAGACGGGUGGUCAGUCGUCGUCGUCGUCGUUGAAUCAGCAGCAACAGCAGCUACCGUCCCAAACCGUCGGACCGUGGGUUCUACUUCUUGCACCACCACCGCCCGCCCGACUGCCCCAAGCAGAAGCCCCACAUGAUGAUGUGGUACACCCGCCAUCCGUCGUGGCUGCUCGACGUCCAGUGGUAGCUGUUCAAACUCCUGGACUUCUUCUUCCUCCGUCGGCGGAGGCGGCGACGGCGUUCGCGGAGUUGGGGCCCUAGGAGUAUUUGUUUACGCGGGAAUUGAAACUUUGAUCGACGACGGAGACUUGGACGGGUCCUGGUACCCAAACCAAACAUAACUAUUAUUAUUACCCACGAAAAUCUCCUUUAUGGGUUACCAAGGACCCAUGUAUACAUGGGAUAUACCCCUAAAUAAAAAUUAUCAAUUUGUUUUUCAGUUUUAUCAAUUCUUUGAUAAAAAUCUUAUUUCAACUGAAUGAAUGCGUGAUCAUAUGUAUUAAAAGUGUUUUUUCUUUUUCUACAACUGAAGUGUCGCUUUUUCUGUUUUAAAUAAACGAUAAUAUCCAGUGAUAAGUGCGAUAAAACUGGCCUUUAAACAGAAAAAACUUUUCUUCAGUUUUCCUAUAAAAAAAACACCUAAAAUAAAAAGUGCUCAUGUUAUCUUCCAGUUCAAAUAAAGUUUUUAUAAAAGUCCUUAAAAACUGAAAAACAACUUAAUGAUUAAAAAAAGGGUAUAUCCCACGUAUACAGGGGUAUCUGGUUUUCAAGGGGAGGCACGAAAAUCAAUCUACGUCGUAAAAGUAAGUACCGUACCUACCUCAAACCUCAACUACUACGAAAAACAAACACUUACCAUCG
This 1029-nucleotide ribosomal RNA is filed under the name Triticum aestivum (bread wheat). RNAcentral's name for it is "partial small subunit ribosomal RNA". Lineage: Eukaryota; Viridiplantae; Streptophyta; Magnoliopsida; Poales; Poaceae. The record is from RNAcentral.